CAGACGAGGAGCUUGCUCCUCUGACGUUAGCGGCGGACGGGUGAGUAACACGUGGAUAACCUACCUAUAAGACUGGGAUAACUUCGGGAAACCGGAGCUAAUACCGGAUAAUAUAUUGAACCGCAUGGUUCAAUAGUGAAAGACGGUUUUGCUGUCACUUAUAGAUGGAUCCGCGCCGCAUUAGCUAGUUGGUAAGGUAACGGCUUACCAAGGCAACGAUGCGUAGCCGACCUGAGAGGGUGAUCGGCCACACUGGAACUGAGACACGGUCCAGACUCCUACGGGAGGCAGCAGUAGGGAAUCUUCCGCAAUGGGCGAAAGCCUGACGGAGCAACGCCGCGUGAGUGAUGAAGGUCUUCGGAUCGUAAAACUCUGUUAUUAGGGAAGAACAAAUGUGUAAGUAACUAUGCACGUCUUGACGGUACCUAAUCAGAAAGCCACGGCUAACUACGUGCCAGCAGCCGCGGUAAUACGUAGGUGGCAAGCGUUAUCCGGAAUUGUUGGGCGUAAAGCGCGCGUAGGCGGUUUUUUAAGUCUGAUGUGAAAGCCCACGGCUCAACCGUGGAGGGUCAUUGGAAACUGGAAAACUUGAGUGCAGAAGAGGAAAGUGGAAUUCCAUGUGUAGCGGUGAAAUGCGCAGAGAUAUGGAGGAACACCAGUGGCGAAGGCGACUUUCUGGUCUGUAACUGACGCUGAUGUGCGAAAGCGUGGGGAUCAAACAGGAUUAGAUACCCUGGUAGUCCACGCCGUAAACGAUGAGUGCUAAGUGUUAGGGGGUUUCCGCCCCUUAGUGCUGCAGCUAACGCAUUAAGCACUCCGCCUGGGGAGUACGACCGCAAGGUUG
RNAcentral lists this ribosomal RNA (844 nucleotides) under uncultured Staphylococcus sp. RNAcentral describes it as "bacterial SSU rRNA". It matches the Rfam family "Bacterial small subunit ribosomal RNA", at positions 70 to 896 of the family's 1533-position model. The record is from RNAcentral. Lineage: Bacteria; Bacillati; Bacillota; Bacilli; Caryophanales; Staphylococcaceae.